CCGUCGAUAGCUCAGUUGGUAGAGCGGUGGACUGUAGAGGCUUCCGAUGCAGGCAUCCAUAGGUCGCUGGUUCGAAUCCGGCUCGACGGA
This 90-nucleotide transfer RNA is filed under the name Haemaphysalis longicornis (longhorned tick). It matches the Rfam family "tRNA". Rfam says of the family: Transfer RNA (tRNA) molecules are approximately 80 nucleotides in length. Their secondary structure includes four short double-helical elements and three loops (D, anti-codon, and T loops). Lineage: Eukaryota; Metazoa; Arthropoda; Arachnida; Ixodida; Ixodidae. The record is from Rfam by way of RNAcentral.